AAUAAUUAUUAUUGGUACUUUAUACAAUUUUAUUUCAAUAUCUAGAAAAAAAUUCAAAAAUAAAGAUAUUUUCAAAUGAUGAAUCUUUUAUUCUGUGUAACAUGAGUGUGUACAUUCACGUUCUUAUCAGAUCUAUAAAUACAAUUUUUUUCUUUGGUGUCAGUAAUGGUAGUGUUGUAUCGAUUUUAUAAUUAUUUUAUUAAGCACCUCUGGCACGUACAACAGUCAUCGCGAGCAAAUCGAGCACGUCGUGUCGCUUAUAGACACUCUAUGUACAAUACUACCGUUGACUUUCCGGGUCUCCAGUGGCCGCGUUACCUUGAACCGGGUCGACCGCGUGCCGUCUUCGUCGCGUAUAACAUAAAUAUAUACCGUGGCACGUUUCGCGAAAUUUCUGCAAACGCAUCAGCGAUAUUACGUAAUUACACGUCGACGGCAGUCUCGCGCCUUGCAAUCCUGUCACGCGCAAUGUCGCGCCUCAUUUCUCUCCACCUUGAGAAAGGUAGUUUCAUGUAAUGUCUUUUCUUCAAAUUAUCUUCAGUUAUCUUUCAUUUUCUUAGCAAGAUGUCUUAUGUUACAAGAUCUUAUUCUACAAUAAGGAUGAAUAAAUCAAGAACCAUCGCACGGUUUUCUUCUCCGAGUGACACGAGAGAUUUCACGUUAACUUCGUGCAAUCGUCACUUAUUUAAUUGUAAAAUGCUAAAGUAAGAAAAUAUGCUUUGUCGCGCUUUCUAAUAAGUAAAUCGAAGAUACCCAGUUGGAAGAAAAGAUAUUAAAUAAUAAUAAUAAUAAUCUUUAUUCUCUUCAACAUUAAAAUAGCCAAGGAGGGGACUUGGUUUACAAUUUCUAACACAUUCAUCCGUCCAUCCAUGCAUAUUAAAUAUUAACCGAUCCGAACUAGUCCGUUCUCCUUCGGUUGCCAAUUCAAAAUUGGAUAAUGUUAAUAUAAAAGACACUCACUCAGAAAGGAUUUCUGAUACUAAGACAAAAAAUAUUCUUGACAUAUUUAAUCUUAUUGCAACCUCAUUGUAUAAAAAUAAAACAAGAUUAAGAUUAAAUCAGAAAUUUUUAUCUUCAGAUCGGUUUAUUCUUAAAUCUAAAAUGUCACAAGAUUGUCACAAAUUUACUAAAUCAUUCUAAGAAAAUUAAUAAGAUAGCAUCAAAAGUCAUUUUAUUCUAGAUUUAAGAACUUUCCAUUUAAGAAUAAAAUAUUCCCUCUUUGAUAAUAAAUAUGAUUGGCGCUAUAUCGAUUUUACGAUAGAUCGAAGGGUAAUAGCAUUAUAGAUCCAGAAAUCUUUUCUGUGGGUGCGGAAUUAAAUUAGAAUUACGUAAGAGAUCGAGGAACAAACUUUCUCUUUAAAACGUCGUGCGCGCGAAACCGUCGUCGAUAGUAUCGGGGGAGUAUUUUUAAUGCAUCCCCCAUUUGGCACGAGCCGAAGAAGAAGCUUCGUGGGCUCCCGCGGCGUGACAGAAAAAGACGCGCGAUGCAAAAUCGAUAGUCCCGGCCUUUAUGGGGUGCCUCACGGUUCGACGAGGGUCGUGGGAAAUCGCUGCGGAAUCGCGAACGUUAACGUAGGAGAGGAGGGUAUCGGCUUUGCCUCCUUUCUCGCUUUAGAAAAACUGCCAGAAACGUGCGCGCGAUUACGCGUCUCUCCUCCUCCUCCUCCUCCUCCUCCUCUUACGCAACAGUCCCACACGCAAUAAUACCUGACCGCAUUCCCGACCGAGAAACUGGGUUAUUAUACGUAUUUCCAGUCGCGCGCGACUCGAAAUGCAAACCGAGCGAAAAUGACAUUAUCGCGUUAUCGUGAAUAUUUCCGUGAGUAUUUGUUUCUCGUUCGGAAAGAGAAUUGUAUCGCGUUUAAACUGGAAAUCUUCAUUGAGACGGAAUUCAACAGCGCCAGGCGCAAGUUUCUCUUAUCUUAAUUAUUAUCUCGUGAUUCAGGUAGAAUUUCUUUUCAACUUAAUUUUAUAACAACUUUGUACGAAGAGAGAAUUUUCUUUUUACUCUUAAAAUCAUCGAAAUGGGAUAGUCGUGGGGCAACGUGGUUUUCGCGAACACAAUUUUACCGCAGUUUUAAUAAAAUUUUAGCAAACUGGUCUAUAUUGUAGAAUAGAAACAGUUUGGUUAAAUUUUAUUGGAAGUAGCAAACUUCUUCAAGGUUCAAUUUAUCUCGCUACUACCACGAAUUUUGCUCAGGUAAAAUUCUCCCCGAGCGAAUCCUGUCGGUGCCUCGCCAAUGAGCUCGGCUAAUAUUACGUCGCACGCGAGGAGAUCGGCCCUUCGGACUUCGUUCGGUGACUCGGGUUUGACUCGAGGCUGUCGUCGACGAGGCCGUACUCGUUUGUAGGAAUCACGCUGCAGAUAAUAUCGCCGCUGAUCCGGCUUUAAAACGCGCGACUGGCGACGACUUAGUUUAUUACAACGAGCCGCUUAUUCGCGCUCCGCGAGCCCGGCGCUCUUGAUUGACAAGCAAUCUACCCUCGUGUAAUCCUGCACUUCUUGAACGCAUCUCUUCUACGGCCCAGCUGUGCCCGAGCUAUGCUCGAGCUGUGCGAUGUUGAAACCAUUCGGCUACACGAUUAUGGUUUUAUCACGAAUUUUAUAUGGUUGCGGUUUAAUCCCUGUUUGUGUGAAGACCUAUGCAAUUGAGCUUUAUGAAGGAGAGGGAGGGGAGAGAAGGGGGUCCGCGUGGAAACUAGGUUGAGAGACGUCGCAUUCAUUGACACUGUUAUAGUUAUUGACAUUGGUCAAUAGGCGCGUAUUUGAGUUAGGGUGAGCUGAACAUCUCGAUCGAAUAU
This 2802-nucleotide long non-coding RNA is filed under the name Monomorium pharaonis (pharaoh ant). Its description in RNAcentral is "uncharacterized LOC118647886". The record is from RNAcentral. Lineage: Eukaryota; Metazoa; Arthropoda; Insecta; Hymenoptera; Formicidae.